RNAcentral lists this small RNA (4774 nucleotides) under Pongo abelii (Sumatran orangutan). Its description in RNAcentral is "retained intron". Lineage: Eukaryota; Metazoa; Chordata; Mammalia; Primates; Hominidae. The record is from RNAcentral.
GGUCUCACCAUGGAGCGGAAAGGUGAGCGGUAGAGCGGCCUCCGCCACGAGGGGCAACGGCCGCCGGGGCGAGGCCCGGGUCAGCGCCGGGAGCUUCGCUUAACUGCUGCGAUUCGGUUCCCGGGCGUGCGGCGCCCCUCCACUGAGGUGGCGCCGCCCAACACCCCCUGCGUCUGGGCUGCGCGUCCGCGCCCCUCAGCCCGGGCGUCCUCCGGCGCCGGCCGUAGCCGCCACUUGUUCCCCGCCAGGCCGGCUCGCGCCUUGGGGCCACUCCAGGGCCCGGCCCUUGGCGGGCGAGGCAGACCCCCACCCGCCCGCCCCCUGACCCGGCCUGAGACCCCUCCGGCGCAUCCCGCCCGGGCGCUGCUCUGCGCCCCGUGGGCCGCCAGCCCUACGGCCGGCCGCCUCGCCGGAGCCUCAGCGCUCGUCCCGCAGCCGCCCCCGAGGCAGGCCCCGCAGCCGGGCCUGGCGCCCCUGCUGGGUCUCCACCCUCACCUUGGUCGCCUCCUUUCCUCCACAUUCGCCCUUCAUCCAUCCCUCUCUCCUGCAGUGCUUGCGCUCCAGGCCCGAAAGAAAAGGACCAAGGCCAAGAAGGACAAAGCCCAAAGGAAAUCUGAAACUCAGCACAGAGGCUCUGCUCCCCACUCUGAGAGUGAUCUACCAGAGCAAGAAGAGGAGAUUCUGGGAUCUGAUGAUGAUGAGCAGGAAGAUCCUAAUGAUUAUUGUAAAGGAGGUUAUCAUCUUGUGAAAAUUGGAGAUCUAUUCAAUGGGAGAUACCAUGUGAUCCGAAAGUUAGGCUGGGGACACUUUUCAACAGUAUGGUUAUCAUGGGAUAUUCAGGGGAAGAAAUUUGUGGCAAUGAAAGUAGUUAAAAGUGCUGAACAUUACACUGAAACAGCACUAGAUGAAAUCCGGUUGCUGAAGUCAGUUCGCAAUUCAGACCCUAAUGAUCCAAAUAGAGAAAUGGUUGUUCAACUACUAGAUGACUUUAAAAUAUCAGGAGUUAAUGGAACACAUAUCUGCAUGGUAUUUGAAGUUUUGGGGCAUCAUCUGCUCAAGUGGAUCAUCAAAUCCAAUUAUCAGGGGCUUCCACUGCCUUGUGUCAAAAAAAUUAUUCAGCAAGUAUUACAGGGUCUUGAUUAUUUACAUACCAAGUGCCGUAUCAUCCACACUGACAUUAAACCAGAGAACAUCUUAUUGUCAGUGAAUGAGCAGUACAUUCGGAGACUGGCUGCGGAAGCAACAGAAUGGCAGCGAUCUGGAGCUCCUCCGCCUUCCGGAUCUGCAGUCAGUACUGCUCCCCAACCUAAGCCAGCUGACAAAAUGUCAAAGAAUAAGAAGAAGAAAUUGAAGAAGAAGCAGAAGCGCCAGGCAGAAUUACUAGAGAAGCGAAUGCAGGAAAUUGAGGAAAUGGAGAAAGAGUCGGGCCCUGGGCAAAAAAGACCAAACAAGCAAGAAGAAUCAGAGAGUCCUGUUGAAAGACCCUUGAAAGAGAACCCACCUAAUAAAAUGACCCAAGAAAAACUUGAAGAGUCAAGUACCAUUGGCCAGGAUCAAACACUUAUGGAACGUGAUACAGAGGGUGGUGCAGCAGAAAUUAAUUGCAAUGGAGUGAUUGAAGUCAUUAAUUAUACUCAGAACAGUAAUAAUGAAACAUUGAGACAUAAAGAGGAUCUACAUAAUGCUAAUGACUGUGAUGUCCAAAAUUUGAAUCAGGAAUCUAGUUUCUUAAGCUCCCAAAAUGGAGACAGCAGCACAUCUCAAGAAACAGACUCUUGCACACCUAUAACAUCUGAGGUGUCAGACACCAUGGUGUGCCAAUCUUCCUCAACUGUAGAUCAGUCAUUCAGUGAACAACACAUUAGCCAACUUCAAGAAAGCAUUCGGGCAGAGAUACCCUGUGAAGAUGAACAAGAGCAAGAACAUAACGGACCACUGGACAACAAAGGAAAAUCCACGGCUGGAAAUUUUCUUGUUAAUCCCCUUGAGCCAAAAAAUGCAGAAAAGCUCAAGGUGAAGAUUGCUGACCUUGGAAAUGCUUGUUGGGUGCACAAACAUUUCACUGAAGAUAUUCAAACAAGGCAAUAUCGUUCCUUGGAAGUUCUAAUAGGGUCUGGCUAUAAUACCCCUGCUGACAUUUGGAGCACGGCAUGCAUGGCCUUUGAACUGGCCACAGGUGACUAUUUGUUUGAACCUCAUUCAGGGGAAGAGUACACUCGAGAUGAAGAUCACAUUGCAUUGAUCAUAGAACUUCUGGGGAAGGUGCCUCGCAAGCUCAUUGUGGCAGGAAAAUAUUCCAAGGAAUUUUUCACCAAAAAAGGUGACCUGAAACAUAUCACGAAGCUGAAACCUUGGGGCCUUUUUGAGGUUCUAGUGGAGAAGUAUGAGUGGUCUCAGGAAGAGGCAGCUGGCUUCACAGAUUUCUUACUGCCCAUGUUGGAGCUGAUCCCUGAGAAGAGAGCCACUGCCGCCGAGUGUCUCCGGCACCCUUGGCUUAACUCCUAAGCCCCUGCCCAGCACCACAGCAGAGAUCACACACUGACCCUCCGCCCUUCCCCUCCAAGCAUUUUCCUCUUCCCUUUUCAGGGUGAAGCUCUUCCUUCAAGAGUUUCUAGAUCUUGUUUUUUUUUUAAUCCAACAUGUUCAUUUGGGCUUGCUUACUUGACCCUGUGGAGAUCCCCACAGCCAUUGGGCAUCCUAGGUGAAUUUGGCGUUGGUUGGGCUCUGCCAAAGACUAAUGGACUAAAAUGUGAAACAGCUUCUUGCCCUGUACCUUUCCUUCCCUUUAGGACAUCCUUUAAAUUAUAAGCAUCCUUUUUGAAAAGAGCUAUGAAGGUGUAUGAGCCCAUCCUUUUAUUCAUUGACUCUAAGAGUCAAAUUUUCUAGUGCAUAUCCUAUUGCCAGCAUAAGGAUGAGGAGGGGGAAAGGGUCUUAAUUCUGUGUACAGCAGAGACAUUAAACUUGCUGUGUCCAGGCUGCAUCAUCUUCCUGGACUGUUUCUGUUGUUCUCUAUGUUCACAUUUUUUCCUGCAACUUUUAAGCUACUGUCUUUUUUAAAUAGCUGUAUGAACACCAAAUUUGGGUACCAUUUUAUCACUGUUCAAAGCACUGUCAAAUUCCUUUCAUCCUUGAAUAGUUAAGAUCUUUGAAUCUUCAGUCUGAUUUUUAAUGUAAGCAAAAACAGAACCAUUGAAUAGUAAUUUCUUGAGAACCUCAGGUGUUCUAUAAACAGUCCUUUCCUGUAUGUCUUCUAUUACCCUAAGACCAGAGUUAUUUUGGUUGGUUGUUUUGUUUUAUUUUUUGUUUUUGUAUCCGUGGCUGGCACUUUACUCAUUGCACUUGAGUUUAUUGCCCCAUAACUAAAGGAUCAGGAUGAUGGUAGAACGGAGAUCUGGGUUUCACAGCUUUCCCAUUUAAGAAAAAUCGAUCUUGAGAUUCUGAUUCUUUUCCAAACAGUCCCCUGCUUUCAUGUACAGCUUUUUCUUUACCUUACCCAAAAUUCUGGACUUGAAGCAGUUUUCCUCUAUGGCGUUGCCUUUCUCAUUUUCUCAGAGGCUCGAGUCUUUAAUACAACCCCAAAUGAAAGAACCAAGGGGAGGGGUGGGAUGGCACUUUUUUUUGUUGGUCUUGUUUUGUUUUGUUUUUUGGUUGGUUGGUUAUUUUUUAAGAUUAGCCAUUCUCUGCUGCUAUUUCCCUACAUAAUGUCAGUUUUUAACCAUAAUUUUGACAUGAUUGAGAUGUACUUGAGGCUUUUUUGUUUUAAUUGAGAAAAGACUUUGCAAUUUUUUUUUUAGGAUGAGCCUCUCCUAGACUUGACCUAGAAUAUUACAUAUUCCUCCAGUAAUACUGAAGAGCAAAAGAGAGGCAGGAUUGGGGUCACAGCCGCUUCUUCAGCAUGGACCAAGUGGGCCUUGGGGAUUGCAGCGUUCUCGAAGUGGCUGUAGGACUCGAAUUUACAGAAAGCCACAGAGGUGCAACUUGAGGCUCUGCUAGCAAGCCACCAGUGAGGCUGUUGGGUAACCACCUUUCUAUACAGGAGAUUGGAAUCUACUUUGUCAGUUAUCCACCAACAGUGACAAAGGAAAAGUGGUGCCGUUAUGCAAUCCAUUUAACUCAUAAACAUAUUACUCUGAGUAACUGGCCAGCCAUUCAUCGGAUCCUUCAUUGGGUACUCCUGAAAUCAGACAUGUUCCUGUAGAAAGAAUUUUAAGUUAGGCUUUCUAUGCACCUAUCAAGAAUCAAGAGAAUAGAUUGUAUCAAACAACGGCAGGGAAAUCCUUCAGCAAUUCUAAUCCACUUUGGGUUUUCAGCUGUUUUUACAUCUAAAGCAAUAGACUAGAACUGAAUUAUCUUCUACAUUGUAAAAUCACAAUUGUGGAAUUACAGGAAUUCUGGUGAUAUUAAGGUGAAAUAACAAAACACACAAAAGGCCCUAUUUUAACAGUUGAUGUGACAGUAAAUUUUAAUAGAGAGAACCUGUAACUUCAUUUUGGAAAUGCUUCUCCACCAAAUAAGGGCUUUUUCCCCUAUUUAAGGAGCCAGAUGGAUUGAAAGAUGUGGAAAUAGGCAGCUGUAGAUCUUGAUCUUCCAGGUACCCCAUGUACCUUUAUUGAGCUUAAUUAUAAUACUGUCAAAUUGCCACGAUCUCACUAAAGGAUUUCUAUUUGCUGUCAGUUAAAAAUAAAGCCCUAAAUACAUUUUUAUUCUUUCUACUGAGUGCAUUGUCUGUUUUCUUUGUAAAUGCCGUACAAUAAACAAAUUAUUUAAUAACCUA